This 310-nucleotide long non-coding RNA is filed under the name Vitis vinifera (wine grape). Its description in RNAcentral is "long non-coding RNA (VVIN_LNC004722)". The record is from RNAcentral. Lineage: Eukaryota; Viridiplantae; Streptophyta; Magnoliopsida; Vitales; Vitaceae.
CAACACAUUUUUAUUCCAUUCCAGACAAAGGACACCACACCCCUGGCAUUCAAAACACACUUUUUAUCAUUCCUCCUCAGAUUCAGACUCCGCACUCUGGAUCCAAGUGAUGAAAGGUUGGGCAUUCUUCCAGAUCUGAGACUUCUUGUUGGCUCCUGACACCCCUUCUUCAUACCACUGCACUAUGUACUCCUCCUCCAACACAUCUCCAUCAUACAGACCCUUCAAAACCAAUGCCACUUCUUUCAAUGCACUUGGCCUCGACUUACCACAGAAUGCCUCAAUAGCACGAAGCAACAGCAACUGCGAC